Molecule: ribosomal RNA, 465 nt
Filed under: Vreelandella stevensii
Lineage: Bacteria; Pseudomonadati; Pseudomonadota; Gammaproteobacteria; Oceanospirillales; Halomonadaceae
Description: partial 16S ribosomal RNA
Rfam family: Bacterial small subunit ribosomal RNA
Source: RNAcentral
CCUACGGGUGGCAGCAGUGGGGAAUAUUGGACAAUGGGCGAAAGCCUGAUCCAGCCAUGCCGCGUGUGUGAAGAAGGCCUUCGGGUUGUAAAGCACUUUCAGUGGGGAAGAAAGCCUUGGGGCUAAUACCCUCGAGGAAGGACAUCACCCACAGAAGAAGCACCGGCUAACUCCGUUCCAGCAGCCGCGGUAAUACGGAGGGUGCGAGCGUUAAUCGGAAUUACUGGGCGUAAAGCGCGCGUAGGCGGUCUGAUAAGCCGGUUGUGAAAGCCCCGGGCUCAACCUGGGAACGGCAUCCGGAACUGUCAGGCUAGAGGGCAGGAGAGGAAGGUAGAAGUCCCGGUGUAGAGGUGAAAUGCGUAGAGAUCGGGAGGAAUACCAGUGGCGAAGGCGGCCUUCUGGACUGACACUGACGCUGAGGUGCGAAAGCGUGGGUAGCAAACAGGAUUAGAUACCCUAGUAGUC